UGGGGAGCAUCCCGGAAACGAAAGUCUUCCGGUUCCGGGGGAAGUAUGGUUGCAAAGCUGAAACUUAAAGGAAUUGACGGAAGGGCACCACCAGGAGUGGAGCCUGCGGCUUAAUUUGACUCAACACGGGGAAACUCMCCCGGCCCGGACACCGYAAGGAUUGACAGAUUGAUAGCUUUUUCAUGAUUCGGUGGAUGGUGGUGCAUGGCCGUUCUUAGUUCGUGGAGCGAUUUGUCUGGUUUAUUCCGAUAACGAGCGAGACUCUGGCCUACUAAAUARUUGACGCAUUGCCUCUGUGUGUACAACUUCUUAKAGGGAUUUUCGGUGUUCAGCCGCACGAAAUUGAGCAAUAACAGGUCUGUGAUGCCCUUAGAUGUCCGGGGCUGCACGCGCGCUACACUGGCAAACGCAACGUGCUUGUCCUUGCGCGAAAGCGCUUGGUAAACCAUUGAAAAUUUGCCGUGAUUGGGAUCGGAAAUUGCAAUUAUUUUCCGUGAACGAGGAAUUCCAAGUAAG
This 516-nucleotide ribosomal RNA is filed under the name Pratylenchus brachyurus. Its description in RNAcentral is "SSU rRNA". It matches the Rfam family "Eukaryotic small subunit ribosomal RNA", at positions 1091 to 1641 of the family's 1831-position model. The record is from RNAcentral. Lineage: Eukaryota; Metazoa; Nematoda; Chromadorea; Rhabditida; Pratylenchidae.